RNAcentral lists this ribosomal RNA (253 nucleotides) under uncultured bacterium. Its description in RNAcentral is "partial 16S ribosomal RNA". It matches the Rfam family "Bacterial small subunit ribosomal RNA", at positions 524 to 776 of the family's 1533-position model. The record is from RNAcentral.
UACGUAGGUGUCUAGCGUUGUCCGGAUUUAUUGGGCGUAAAGAGCCCGCAGGCGGCUUGGUAAGUUCGAAGUGAAAUCUCCCGGCUUAACUGGGAGGGUGCUUCGGAAACUGCCAGGCUUGAGGCAGGGAGAGGGAUGCGGAAUUCCCGGUGUAGCGGUGAAAUGCGUAGAUAUCGGGGGGAACACCAGUGGCGAAGGCGGCAUCCUGGCCCUGACCUGACGCUCAGGGGCGAAAGCGUGGGUAGCAAACCGG